This is a long non-coding RNA of Talpa occidentalis (Iberian mole), 331 nucleotides long. RefSeq lists it as uncharacterized. The record is from RefSeq and is a predicted model, not a curated record. The transcript is spliced from 4 exons. NCBI's taxonomy places the organism in Eukaryota, Metazoa, Chordata, Mammalia, Eulipotyphla, Talpidae.
CAGAUGACAGCAGGGCCUCCUGCAUCUGGUCACUGAGCACGAACUGAUUUCCUCUACACAGGUACUCAGCUCCACGCCUGGCACGUGGCCUUUCCUGGCUCCAUGCAGCUCCCAAACUGAAUGAGAUCUCCAAAUUACGUACUUUCCUGGCUGAAUCACACAAAGCCAGCAGGUGGCAACUCCAGAUGUCGCAGUAGUGACACCGCGAGUGACUGGCAGGUCCCGAGGACUCACCCAGCUAACAACAGGCUUCAAGGCUGCUGGGAGAAGCAGCAGGAGACACUGUUAACAAGACGGAUGCUGCUGCACGCGCUCACCGUGGGGAGUGCUG